GUCACGCUGACAUUUCCUGCUCCAUGAAAAGGACUGAACAGGAUCUCACUGAAGAAAACAUCUUUAAGAGUCCUUCUGUGGAGCUGGAAGGCUGUAUUCAUGGCAGGUUAGUGAGCAAACAACCUACAUUCAAAUCCCGUCUCUGCUAAUCAGGAGCUUACGGCUUUGAAGAUCACUGGCACCCUGUUGCAAUGAAAGUAUCUGACUGUUUACUGCAGCACUGACUCGAGGUUAAGCGAGCAGUGGACCAUUAAAACUCAGGAGAAUGCAAUACAUCUCUAAUUUCUGCCUUCAGCAAAAAAUUGCUUUGAUAUAGACUUUAUGAUAGCAGGGGAGGUGCUGAGGAUGCCAGCACAGACACGAUGCCAGAACCAACCUGCAGUUCCCUUGACUUAGGACUGAGAGCACGUGAAAUUAGCUUUACCUAAGGAAAAAGAGCAGUUUCACUUGUUCACAGGAUGCUGUCAGAGGCCUCACACCUGGUACUUCAGACCAGAGUUCCCUGCGGGAAAUGGCCGCAUGAACGCUGACACCUCAGCUGGACCAACCCUGUGCAGAAGCUGCCCACAGACACUCAACUCAAGAUGGCGGCUGUGAACCGUGUGCAGAGACGCUGCACCCGCACUGUCACGUGACGCGUGAGCCGCCCAGCUGUGCCCACCCCUCCCAGAACUCCGCCCCCUCAACCCUCUAAAGCGGCUCCGCCCACCACCUGUCUAGGAAGUGUGUGCUCUAGAGCAUAAGCUCAUACCUCUCCUUUCUCAAAGAAUAAAUCUU
Long non-coding RNA from Cervus elaphus (red deer), 777 nucleotides. RefSeq lists it as uncharacterized. The record is from RefSeq and is a predicted model, not a curated record. NCBI's taxonomy places the organism in Eukaryota, Metazoa, Chordata, Mammalia, Artiodactyla, Cervidae. The transcript is spliced from 4 exons.